UAAGGAAUAUUGGUCAAUGGACGCAAGUCUGAACCAGCCAUGCCGCGUGAAGGAUGAAGGUCCUCUGGAUUGUAAACUUCUUUUAUCUGGGACGAAAACGGGAUUUUUAUCUCAAUUGACGGUACCAGAGGAAUAAGCACCGGCUAACUCCGUGCCGGCAGCCGCGGUAAUACGGAGGGUGCGAGCGUUAUCCGGAUUUACUGGGUUUAAAGGGUGCGUAGGUGGGCUUAUAAGUCAGUGGUGAAAUCUCCGAGCUUAACUUGGAAACUGCCGUUGAUACUAUAGCUCUUGAAUUAUCUGGAGGUAAGCGGAAUAUGUCAUGUAGCGGUGAAAUGCUUAGAUAUGACAUAGAACACCAAUUGCGAAGGCAGCUUACUACAUAUAAAUUGACGCUGAGGCACGAAAGCGUGGGGAUCAAACA
RNAcentral lists this ribosomal RNA (421 nucleotides) under uncultured bacterium. Its description in RNAcentral is "bacterial SSU rRNA". It matches the Rfam family "Bacterial small subunit ribosomal RNA", at positions 355 to 774 of the family's 1533-position model. The record is from RNAcentral.